This 253-nucleotide ribosomal RNA is filed under the name uncultured Eubacteriales bacterium. RNAcentral describes it as "uncultured Clostridiales bacterium partial 16S ribosomal RNA". It matches the Rfam family "Bacterial small subunit ribosomal RNA", at positions 524 to 776 of the family's 1533-position model. The record is from RNAcentral. Lineage: Bacteria; Bacillati; Bacillota; Clostridia; Eubacteriales.
UACGUAGGUGGCAAGCGUUGUCCGGAUUUACUGGGUGUAAAGGGCGUGUAGCCGGGCCGGCAAGUCAGAUGUGAAAUCCCAAGGCUCAACCUUGGAACUGCAUUUGAAACUGUUGGUCUUGAGUAUCGGAGAGGCAGGCGGAAUUCCUAGUGUAGCGGUGAAAUGCGUAGAUAUCAGGAGGAACACCGGCGGCGAAGGCGGCUUACUGGACUGUAACUGACGUUGAGGCUCGAAGGCGUGGGGAGCAAACAGG